RNAcentral lists this ribosomal RNA (484 nucleotides) under well water enrichment culture. RNAcentral describes it as "bacterial SSU rRNA". It matches the Rfam family "Bacterial small subunit ribosomal RNA", at positions 1028 to 1512 of the family's 1533-position model. The record is from RNAcentral.
AGAGUGACAGGUGGUGCAUGGUUGUCGUCAGCUCGUGUCGUGAGAUGUUGGGUUAAGUCCCGCAACGAGCGCAACCCUUGAUCUUAGUUGCCAUCAUUAAGUUGGGCACUCUAAGGUGACUGCCGGUGACAAACCGGAGGAAGGUGGGGAUGACGUCAAAUCAUCAUGCCCCUUAUGACCUGGGCUACACACGUGCUACAAUGGACGGUACAAAGAGCUGCAAGACCGCGAGGUGGAGCUAAUCUCAUAAAACCGUUCUCAGUUCGGAUUGUAGGCUGCAACUCGCCUACAUGAAGCUGGAAUCGCUAGUAAUCGCGGAUCAGCAUGCCGCGGUGAAUACGUUCCCGGGCCUUGUACACACCGCCCGUCACACCACGAGAGUUUGUAACACCCGAAGUCGGUGGGGUAACCUUUAUGGAGCCAGCCGCCUAAGGUGGGACAGAUGAUUGGGGUGAAGUCGUAACAAGGUAGCCGUAUCGGAAGG